Molecule: ribosomal RNA, 2373 nt
Filed under: Escherichia coli
Lineage: Bacteria; Pseudomonadati; Pseudomonadota; Gammaproteobacteria; Enterobacterales; Enterobacteriaceae
Description: partial 23S ribosomal RNA
Rfam family: Bacterial large subunit ribosomal RNA
Source: RNAcentral
UACAAGCAGUGGGAGCCUCUUUUAUGGGGUGACUGCGUACCUUUUGUAUAAUGGGUCAGCGACUUAUAUUCUGUAGCAAGGUUAACCGAAUAGGGGAGCCGAAGGGAAACCGAGUCUUAACUGGGCGUUAAGUUGCAGGGUAUAGACCCGAAACCCGGUGAUCUAGCCAUGGGCAGGUUGAAGGUUGGGUAACACUAACUGGAGGACCGAACCGACUAAUGUUGAAAAAUUAGCGGAUGACUUGUGGCUGGGGGUGAAAGGCCAAUCAAACCGGGAGAUAGCUGGUUCUCCCCGAAAGCUAUUUAGGUAGCGCCUCGUGAAUUCAUCUCCGGGGGUAGAGCACUGUUUCGGCAAGGGGGUCAUCCCGACUUACCAACCCGAUGCAAACUGCGAAUACCGGAGAAUGUUAUCACGGGAGACACACGGCGGGUGCUAACGUCCGUCGUGAAGAGGGAAACAACCCAGACCGCCAGCUAAGGUCCCAAAGUCAUGGUUAAGUGGGAAACGAUGUGGGAAGGCCCAGACAGCCAGGAUGUUGGCUUAGAAGCAGCCAUCAUUUAAAGAAAGCGUAAUAGCUCACUGGUCGAGUCGGCCUGCGCGGAAGAUGUAACGGGGCUAAACCAUGCACCGAAGCUGCGGCAGCGACGCUUAUGCGUUGUUGGGUAGGGGAGCGUUCUGUAAGCCUGUGAAGGUGUACUGUGAGGUAUGCUGGAGGUAUCAGAAGUGCGAAUGCUGACAUAAGUAACGAUAAAGCGGGUGAAAAGCCCGCUCGCCGGAAGACCAAGGGUUCCUGUCCAACGUUAAUCGGGGCAGGGUGAGUCGACCCCUAAGGCGAGGCCGAAAGGCGUAGUCGAUGGGAAACAGGUUAAUAUUCCUGUACUUGGUGUUACUGCGAAGGGGGGACGGAGAAGGCUAUGUUGGCCGGGCGACGGUUGUCCCGGUUUAAGCGUGUAGGCUGGUUUUCCAGGCAAAUCCGGAAAAUCAAGGCUGAGGCGUGAUGACGAGGCACUACGGUGCUGAAGCAACAAAUGCCCUGCUUCCAGGAAAAGCCUCUAAGCAUCAGGUAACAUCAAAUCGUACCCCAAACCGACACAGGUGGUCAGGUAGAGAAUACCAAGGCGCUUGAGAGAACUCGGGUGAAGGAACUAGGCAAAAUGGUGCCGUAACUUCGGGAGAAGGCACGCUGAUAUGUAGGUGAAGCGACUUGCUCGUGGAGCUGAAAUCAGUCGAAGAUACCAGCUGGCUGCAACUGUUUAUUAAAAACACAGCACUGUGCAAACACGAAAGUGGACGUAUACGGUGUGACGCCUGCCCGGUGCCGGAAGGUUAAUUGAUGGGGUUAGCGGUAACGCGAAGCUCUUGAUCGAAGCCCCGGUAAACGGCGGCCGUAACUAUAACGGUCCUAAGGUAGCGAAAUUCCUUGUCGGGUAAGUUCCGACCUGCACGAAUGGCGUAAUGAUGGCCAGGCUGUCUCCACCCGAGACUCAGUGAAAUUGAACUCGCUGUGAAGAUGCAGUGUACCCGCGGCAAGACGGAAAGACCCCGUGAACCUUUACUAUAGCUUGACACUGAACAUUGAGCCUUGAUGUGUAGGAUAGGUGGGAGGCUUUGAAGUGUGGACGCCAGUCUGCAUGGAGCCGACCUUGAAAUACCACCCUUUAAUGUUUGAUGUUCUAACGUUGGCCCCUGAUCGGGGUUGCGGACAGUGUCUGGUGGGUAGUUUGACUGGGGCGGUCUCCUCCUAAAGAGUAACGGAGGAGCACGAAGGUUGGCUAAUCCUGGUCGGACAUCAGGAGGUUAGUGCAAUGGCAUAAGCCAGCUUGACUGCGAGCGUGACGGCGCGAGCAGGUGCGAAAGCAGGUCAUAGUGAUCCGGUGGUUCUGAAUGGAAGGGCCAUCGCUCAACGGAUAAAAGGUACUCCGGGGAUAACAGGCUGAUACCGCCCAAGAGUUCAUAUCGACGGCGGUGUUUGGCACCUCGAUGUCGGCUCAUCACAUCCUGGGGCUGAAGUAGGUCCCAAGGGUAUGGCUGUUCGCCAUUUAAAGUGGUACGCGAGCUGGGUUUAGAACGUCGUGAGACAGUUCGGUCCCUAUCUGCCGUGGGCGCUGGAGAACUGAGGGGGGCUGCUCCUAGUACGAGAGGACCGGAGUGGACGCAUCACUGGUGUUCGGGUUGUCAUGCCAAUGGCACUGCCCGGUAGCUAAAUGCGGAAGAGAUAAGUGCUGAAAGCAUCUAAGCACGAAACUUGCCCCGAGAUGAGUUCUCCCUGAGACUUUAAGUCUCCUGAAGGAACGUUGAAGACGACGACGUUGAUAGGCCGGGUGUGUAAGCGCAGCGAUGCGUUGAGCUAACCGGUACUAAUGAACCGUGAGG